GAAGUUGGAAUCGCUAGUAAUCGCGAAUCAGAAUGUCGCGGUGAAUACGUUCCCGGGUCUUGUACACACCGCCCGUCACACCACGAGAGUUUACAACACCCGAAGUCAGUGGCCUAACCGCAAGGAGGGAGCUGCCUAAGGUGGGGUAGAUGAUUGGGGUGAAGUCGUAACAAGGUAUC
This 179-nucleotide ribosomal RNA is filed under the name uncultured bacterium. RNAcentral's name for it is "partial 16S ribosomal RNA". It matches the Rfam family "Bacterial small subunit ribosomal RNA", at positions 1322 to 1500 of the family's 1533-position model. The record is from RNAcentral.